Non-coding RNA from Triticum aestivum (bread wheat), 107 nucleotides. The record is from Rfam. NCBI's taxonomy places the organism in Eukaryota, Viridiplantae, Streptophyta, Magnoliopsida, Poales, Poaceae.
CUAGUACUCCCUUCGUCCCAAAAUUCUUGUCUUAGAUUUGUCUACAUACGGAUGUACCGUAUGUAGACAAAUCUAAGACAAGAAUUUUGGGACGGAGGGAGUAUAAU